AUAUUUAAAAAUUAAGGUAGUAGUACCUUUAAACAAAACCUAUUUAUAUUGGCGACAAUUCAUCUAAUUAAAGGAACUUGUUUCGUAAUCGACAAUACUCGUUUAAUUUCACUUUUAUUAAAAAUUUAUAUACCGCCAUCUUAAGAAUUAAUUUUAAAGAAUUAUUCACACUUCUUUUUUAAAAAAAGUUAGGUCAAGGUGUAAUCUAAAUAUAAGCAAAAAUGAGUUACAUUAAAAAACAUUUAAGAAACUGAUAUUAAAAAUUUAAUAUGAAAAAGGAUUUAAAUGUAAUAUUUUAUUAAAAAUUUAAUAUGAAUUAGAUAAUAAUUAUGUACAC
RNAcentral lists this ribosomal RNA (337 nucleotides) under Ctenidae sp. Its description in RNAcentral is "partial small subunit ribosomal RNA". The record is from RNAcentral. Lineage: Eukaryota; Metazoa; Arthropoda; Arachnida; Araneae; Ctenidae.